Molecule: non-coding RNA, 29 nt
Filed under: Rattus norvegicus (Norway rat)
Lineage: Eukaryota; Metazoa; Chordata; Mammalia; Rodentia; Muridae
Source: RNAcentral
UCACCUCUUUAUUUAAGGCUAGGAGUGAG